RNAcentral lists this ribosomal RNA (484 nucleotides) under uncultured bacterium. RNAcentral describes it as "partial 16S ribosomal RNA". It matches the Rfam family "Bacterial small subunit ribosomal RNA", at positions 30 to 507 of the family's 1533-position model. The record is from RNAcentral.
AUUGAACGCUGGCGGCAGGCCUAACACAUGCAAGUCGAGCGGAAGAAGGGAGCUUGCUCCUGGAUUCAGCGGCGGACGGGUGAGUAAUGCCUAGGAAUCUGCCUGGUAGUGGGGGAUAACGUCCGGAAACGGGCGCUAAUAACGCAUACGUCCUGAGGGUGAAAGUGGGGGAUCUUCGGACCUUACGCUAUCAGAUGAGCCUAGGUCGGAUUAGCUAGUUGGUGGGGUAAAGGCCUACCAAGGCGACGAUCCGUAACUGGUCUGAGAGGAUGAUCAGUCACACUGGAACUGAGACACGGUCCAGACUCCUACGGGAGGCAGCAGUGGGGAAUAUUGGACAAUGGGCGAAAGCCUGAUCCAGCCAUGCCGCGUGUGUGAAGAAGGUCUUCGGAUUGUAAAGCACUUUAAGUUGGGAGGAAGGGCAGUAAGUUAAUACCUUGCUGUUUUGACGUUACCAACAGAAUAAGCACCGGCUAACUUCGUG